Gadus macrocephalus (Pacific cod) is the source of this 512-nucleotide long non-coding RNA. RefSeq lists it as uncharacterized. The record is from RefSeq and is a predicted model, not a curated record. Lineage: Eukaryota; Metazoa; Chordata; Actinopteri; Gadiformes; Gadidae. The transcript has 3 exons.
GUCCUGGAGGAGGGAGGGACGGCAUACACAACACAUCAAUCAAGGCUGAACUAAUUCACUAAAAUGAUUAAUCAGGUGUGAACUAAUUCAUUAAAAUGAUUAAUCAGGUGUGAACUGAUUAUCUAAACUGAUUAAUCAGCUGUGAACUAAUUAUCUAAACUGAUUAAAUGUGAAGCUGAAGGAUGUUUUUUCACCUGACGGAGGUGUUUAACAUCAAGGAUGUGUGUUUUAAGGUGAAGGAUGUGUUUUAAGGUGAAGGAGAUGCAUUAAAGAGAAGGUGUUUUAAGGUGAAGGAGGUGUUUUAAGGUGAAGGAUGUGUUUUAAGGUGAAGGAUGUCUAUUAAGGUGAAGGAGGUGUAUUAAGGUGAAGGAGGUGUAUUAAGGUGAAGGAGGUGCAUUAAGGUGAAGGAUGUGUAUUAAGGUGAAGGAGGUGUAUUAAGGUGAAGGAGGUGUUUGAGGGUGAAGGAUGUGUAUUAAGGUGAAGGAGGUGCAUUAAGGUGAAGGAGGUGUAUU